UGGCUCAACGCACCCUCGAAAGCACUUGAACGUGGCGCCCAUUACUCGAGCUAGUGCUUUCUCCUGACGCUGCACUGUAGAAUCCAAUCAAAAAAAAAAAAUGCCGUCGUUUGCUGGUGCUGCAAGACUGCCACAAGCUAAUAGUUUUUUUUUCUUCUUCUUCUUGUUUUCUUGCUGAUCGAGCAUGCAAUGCAAGGCGGCGAAAGUAGCUACGUUUGCAGGUUCUCCCGGUCAAAGUGAUGAGG
This 245-nucleotide long non-coding RNA is filed under the name Oryza brachyantha (malo sina). RNAcentral describes it as "long non-coding RNA (OBRA_LNC000686)". Lineage: Eukaryota; Viridiplantae; Streptophyta; Magnoliopsida; Poales; Poaceae. The record is from RNAcentral.